Micropterus dolomieu (smallmouth bass) is the source of this 317-nucleotide long non-coding RNA. RefSeq lists it as uncharacterized. NCBI's taxonomy places the organism in Eukaryota, Metazoa, Chordata, Actinopteri, Centrarchiformes, Centrarchidae. The transcript is spliced from 3 exons. The record is from RefSeq and is a predicted model, not a curated record.
UUUUUCCCUCGGUGCUAAUUGUGACGGAUGCCGAGUGCUGUCUGCCAGAGCUGAGCAUCACAAGCCGCUGGCCCUUCACUUCCUCAGCCUGAGCCGCAGACCUCAAAAGACCAUUGCAACUGUACCUGGUUGUGCCUCCAACAGGGUAAAGAUUAGAAGUCUGAAGUUAGUUCCUCUCCCCGCAAGAUGGCAGCAUUUCGGCGUCUUCUUAGAGGAAACCCAGAGCCCAAUGUUGUAGUUGCUACCCAUGGUUGCUACCAAGCUCCACAAGACUUGACUGCAUGAUGGAUCUGAGCGGCUAUUUAUUUAAAAAAAAU